GACGAACGCUGGCGGCGUGCUUAACACAUGCAAGUCGAACGGAAAGGCCCUGCUUUUGUGGGGUGCUCGAGUGGCGAACGGGUGAGUAACACGUGAGUAACCUGCCCUUGACUUUGGGAUAACUUCAGGAAACUGGGGCUAAUACCGGAUAGGAGCUCCUGCUGCAUGGUGGGGGUUGGAAAGUUUCGGCGGUUGGGGAUGGACUGGCGGCGUAUGAGCUUGUUGGUGGGGUAGUGGCUUACCAAGGCGUCGACGGGUAGACGGCCUGAGAGGGUGACCAGCCACACGGGAACUGAGGCACGGUCCAGACUACUACGGGAGGCAGCAGUGGGGAAUAGUGGACAAUGGGCGGAAGCCUGAUCCAGCCAUACCGCGUGGGUGAAGAAGGCCUUCGGGUUGUAAAGCCCUGUUGUUGGGAAAGAAAAGCAGCAGGUUAAUACCCCGCUGUUCUGACGGUACCCAAAGAAUAAGCACCGGCUAACUUCGUG
RNAcentral lists this ribosomal RNA (488 nucleotides) under uncultured bacterium. Its description in RNAcentral is "partial 16S ribosomal RNA". It matches the Rfam family "Bacterial small subunit ribosomal RNA", at positions 28 to 507 of the family's 1533-position model. The record is from RNAcentral.